RNAcentral lists this ribosomal RNA (468 nucleotides) under uncultured bacterium. RNAcentral's name for it is "partial 16S ribosomal RNA". It matches the Rfam family "Bacterial small subunit ribosomal RNA", at positions 28 to 507 of the family's 1533-position model. The record is from RNAcentral.
GACGAACGCUGGCGGCGUGCUUAACACAUGCAAGUCGAACGGAAAGGCCCUGCUUUUGUGGGGUGCUCGAGUGGCGAACGGGUGAGUAACACGUGAGUAACCUGCCCUUGACUUUGGGAUAACUUCAGGAAACUGGGGCUCAUACCGGAUAGGAGCUCCUGCUGCAUGGUGGGGGUUGGAAAGUUUCGGCGGUUGGGGCUGGACUCGCGGCUUAUCAGCUUGUUGGUGGGGUAGUGUCUUACCACGGCUUUGACGGGUAGCCGGCCUGAGAGGGUGACCGGCCACAUUGGGACUGAGAUACGGCCCAGACUCCUACGGGAGGCAGCAGUGGGGAAUAUUGCACAAUGGGCGGAAGCCUGAUGCAGCAACGCCGCGUGCGGGAUGACGGCCUGCGGGUUGUAAACCGCUUUCGCCGGUGACGAAGCGUGAGUGACGGUAAUGGGUAAAGAAGCACCGGCUAACUACGUG